CCUGCACUUCAGCUGUCUGCCAAGGCCCAGCAUCACUCUUGGUCGGUCCAGGGGGUGAAGGGACAUCUGGAGAGACUGGCAGAUGACAACAACGCCACAGAGAGGGUGAAUGUGUGGGCAGUGCUGGUGAAGGCUGCCAGGGGACAUGAGGUGUGGGACGUAUGCAGAGCUGCUUGCCGCUUCUGUCUGCUCUACGACGACGGCAGAUGGACUGAGAAGGGUCAGAGUCCAGAGCAAGGUUCUCUCCAGAUCAACGCCUCCUCCAGGGACGUGCUUCUUCUCCUGGCCGAAAUCUGCUUCAUCAAUGCUGAGGCCACUGUCCAGAAGCUGCAAUCGGAGGGGGUGGAGCUUAACAGUCCCGCUGUCCUGCCUCAGGACAGAGGAGGCCCUGCCUCUGAGGACCACUGGGGGGUC
This is a long non-coding RNA of Gadus morhua (Atlantic cod), 414 nucleotides long. RefSeq lists it as uncharacterized. The transcript has 4 exons. The record is from RefSeq and is a predicted model, not a curated record. NCBI's taxonomy places the organism in Eukaryota, Metazoa, Chordata, Actinopteri, Gadiformes, Gadidae.